This is a long non-coding RNA of Trichoplusia ni (cabbage looper), 345 nucleotides long. RefSeq lists it as uncharacterized. The transcript is spliced from 3 exons. NCBI's taxonomy places the organism in Eukaryota, Metazoa, Arthropoda, Insecta, Lepidoptera, Noctuidae. The record is from RefSeq and is a predicted model, not a curated record.
CCGCGCCCGCCGCGCUGCACUACGGGACCACCGCCCCGCACCUCGCCUACAACAACCAGCCCCCCAGUGGCAGUACUAGAGCCCAGAGUGGAGGCGGUGGAGGAGGAGACAGUGAAGUUCCUAGCGACCAGACAUUGUCCGAUCUCUUAGAUGAGGUGAUCGAGAACAUGCCCGACGCUGACCGAUCGGCAGCCGACGUUAAUGUUCGGCAACGACAAGGAAUGAAGGAGAAGAACGCCAUGAUCAACGCCAUCCGGCAGAGCCUGAUGCAGUGUGAAACGGUAGGCAAGGCGGCCGGCGGGUCGAGCCCGGGCGGCGGGGCGGGCGCGGCGGGCGCGGCGGGCG